AGCUUGGUGCAGUGGCAGUAUCAUAGCCAAUGAGGUUUAUCCGAGGUGCAAUUAUUGCUAAUUAAAUAAUAGUGAAGAGUUAUGUAUUAUAUUACUGUUGCUGCUGUAACAAAUUACCACAAACUUUAAAACAACGAAAA
Small nuclear RNA from Nyctereutes procyonoides (raccoon dog), 140 nucleotides. RefSeq annotates it as U4 spliceosomal RNA. The record is from RefSeq and is a predicted model, not a curated record. NCBI's taxonomy places the organism in Eukaryota, Metazoa, Chordata, Mammalia, Carnivora, Canidae. The transcript has a single exon.